This 509-nucleotide ribosomal RNA is filed under the name uncultured bacterium. Its description in RNAcentral is "partial 16S ribosomal RNA". It matches the Rfam family "Bacterial small subunit ribosomal RNA", at positions 28 to 523 of the family's 1533-position model. The record is from RNAcentral.
GACGAACGCUGGCGGCGUGCUUAACACAUGCAAGUGGAGCGACGAACCAGGGCUUGCCCCGGGGCAGAGCCGCGAACGGGUGAGUAAUACGUGGGUAACGUGCCCCGAUGACCGGGACAACCCGAGGAAACUCGGGCUAAUACCGGAUGAGGACCUCUCACAUCAGUGAGUUGUCUAACUGUAGCUUCGGCUUCCGCAUUGGGAGCGGCCCGCGGCCCAUUAGCUUGUUGGUGAGGUAACGGCUUACCAAGGCUUCGAUGGGUAGCUGGUCUGAGAGGACGAUCAGCCACACUGGGACUGAGACACGGCCCAGACUCCUACGGGAGGCAGCAGUGGGGAAUCUUGCGCAAUGCGCGAAAGCGUGACGCAGCAACGCCGCGUGGGGGAAGACGGCCUUCGGGUUGUAAACCCCUUUCAGGAGGGACGAAGGUCACACGGUUAAUAGCCGGCGUGACUGACGGUACCUCCAGAAGAAGCCCCGGCUAACUACGUGCCAGCCGCCGCCGUAA